RNAcentral lists this ribosomal RNA (253 nucleotides) under uncultured bacterium. RNAcentral's name for it is "partial 16S ribosomal RNA". It matches the Rfam family "Bacterial small subunit ribosomal RNA", at positions 524 to 776 of the family's 1533-position model. The record is from RNAcentral.
UACGUAGGGGGCGAGCGUUGUUCGGAAUUACUGGGCGUAAAGGGCUCGUAGGCGGCCAACUAAGUCGGAUGUGAAAUCCCCAGGCUUAACCUGGGAACUGCAUCCGAUACUGGAUGGCUUGAAUCCGGGAGAGGGAUGCAGAAUUCCAGGUGUAGCGGUGAAAUGCGUAGAUAUCUGGAGGAAUACCGGUGGCGAAGGCGGCAUCCUGGACCGGCAUUGACGCUGAUGAGCGAAAGCUAGGGGAGCAAACGGG